RNAcentral lists this RNase P RNA (381 nucleotides) under Bacteroidota bacterium. RNAcentral's name for it is "RNase P RNA component class A". It matches the Rfam family "Bacterial RNase P class A". Rfam says of the family: Ribonuclease P (RNase P) is a ubiquitous endoribonuclease, found in archaea, bacteria and eukarya as well as chloroplasts and mitochondria. Lineage: Bacteria; Pseudomonadati; Bacteroidota. The record is from RNAcentral.
GCAGCAGGCCGUUCCAUCGUGGCGCCAACGGUGCCAAGGAAAGUCCGGACAACACAGAGCACCAUGCUUCCUAACAGGAAGAUAUCCGUGAGGGUAUAGAAGUGUAACAGAAAAUAACCGCCCCUGAGCUAAGGCGAAGGAGGCAAGGAUGAAAAGGCGAGGUAAGAGCUCACCGGUCCCUGUGGUGACACAGAGACCCGUACACCUGAUGGGUUGAAAGACCAUGUAUACCGGCUAUAAGGAUUGCUCGUCCGAUGCCGGGGGGUGGGUCGUAUGAUCCCGUCAGUGAUGGCGGGGCAAGAUAAAUGAUGGAAGCCGGUUCAUAUUUCUCUUGCAGAAGAAGGACCGGUACAGAAUCCGGCUUACAGGCCAGCUGCUUUU